CAGCCGCCGCGGGAAUACGUAGGUGGCAAGCGUUGUCCGGAAUUAUUGGGCGUAAAGGGCUCGCAGGCGGUUUCUUAAGUCUGAUGUGAAAGCCCCCGGCUCAACCGGGGAGGGUCAUUGGAAACUGGGAAACUUGAGUGCAGAAGAGGAGAGUGGAAUUCCACGUGUAGCGGUGAAAUGCGUAGAGAUGUGGAGGAACACCAGUGGCGAAGGCGACUCUCUGGUCUGUAACUGACGCUGAGGAGCGAAAGCGUGGGGAGCGAACAGGAUUAGAUACCCGGGUAGUCCCUGUCUCUUAUAA
Molecule: ribosomal RNA, 301 nt
Filed under: uncultured bacterium
Lineage: Bacteria
Description: partial 16S ribosomal RNA
Rfam family: Bacterial small subunit ribosomal RNA
Source: RNAcentral